AUAUUCAGUGCUGCAGGACUAUACCAUUGUCCUUUCAUGUUGUGCUGACAGUACUAAACUUAAUCCAGUGAUCAUUUCCAAUUGCAAAACAAUGCCAAAACCUUCUGAAAUUCUCCAGGUAUUGUUCUUCAUGUACAUUACAAGGGUUGGGUGGACAAGGCUGGUAUGGAAUUAUGCAUUAACAGUGUGUGGAAGAGAAGGAAAGGUGCUUUAUUGAAGAAGAGUUCUCUUCUUGUACUAGAUCAGUUUAGUAGUCAUUUGAAAAAUUCUGUGGAUAAGACAGUUGUGGUCUAGAGUGAGAGAAGACAUUACUGUUAAGUCUUUCAAGAAGUACUUGGAAUCUAAUAAUAAUUUAUUUUUAAAUUGCUUGAAAAUUAAUGUUUGUCUUAUAGUCUGUAGCAUCUUAUAGUCCAUAAAAUACCGUACUUCGUGUGCUCAUAUCACAUAUAUUUUAUGCUUUGUCAUUGAUAGCAGCAGGAAGGUACUACCAAAUUUUGAACUGGAGUAUCAGUCCUCUUUGACCAGUUCUGUAGAUAAAUGAUUCCUGGACCUAUUAAAUGUAUUGUUUCUACAGAGGUAUAAAAACACCAUAGAAAUUUAUCAUCAUAUGACAUUUAUAGACAAAACACCAAUUUUACUAUUACAAUACAUAGUAAAUGAAAUUGACAGUAACUUUUUUUUCCAAAAGGAAGAUGUAAUUCAGUUACCACAUGAUCCGUACCCAAAGUAUAAGAUUUGUGGAGUCUGUUUCUUUUUCUAUUUUAAGAUUUUUUUGAAUCUGUGGUACAGAAAACAAAAGUAAUUAAAAUAAAGUGCUUUGUAAAUUAAUUGUUCUUGUGUUUUUUCAGCAUAUUGAUAUUGAAACAAAGUGCAAUAAUUCAUGGAGUAGUCAGCUGCUUCUUGAAAACUGUGAUAUGCAGUAAAUGAUUGUCCAACAGAAGAAGCAAUUAUGAUCUGUCAUAGCAAACCUAUAAAAGGAGCUUUUGCCGGUGAAUGUGAUUAUUCCAUCACACCAUCAGAGUAUUUAAACGAGCAGGCAUAUUUAUUUCGACAAAAUGAGGUCAUAUGUCCACGGUGUGGAAAGGAAUACAGAUUAAGAAAUUCUUUUCUGAAGCACAUCCAUUAUGUGUGUGGAAAAGAGCCACAAUUACAAUGCCCAAAGUGUCCAAAAAGAUUCAAGACCAGGAGCAAUCUAAACCAGCACAUCAAAGCUGUGCAUCUAAAUGUGGAGAUCCGAAUCACUGAACAGGAAACUGUACACCAAUAUAGAGAAUAAUUGGGAAAAAAUAAAUCAUUUUAUGAACA
Schistocerca piceifrons (Central American locust) is the source of this 1305-nucleotide long non-coding RNA. RefSeq lists it as uncharacterized. Lineage: Eukaryota; Metazoa; Arthropoda; Insecta; Orthoptera; Acrididae. The transcript is spliced from 2 exons. The record is from RefSeq and is a predicted model, not a curated record.